AUACGGAGGAUCCGAGCGUUAUCCGGAUUUAUUGGGUUUAAAGGGUGCGCAGGCGGCCAUUUAAGUCAGCGGUUAAAUCGUGGGGCUCAACCCCAUUCUGCAGUUGAUACUGGUUUCCUUGAGUACGGUACAGGUGGGCGGAAUUCGUGGUGUAGCGGUGAAAUGCAUAGAUAUGACGAAGAACACCGAUUGCGUAGGCAGCUGACCAGACCGCAAAUGACGCUCAUGCACGAAAGUGCGGGGAUCGAACAGGAUUAGAUACCCUGGUAGUCCGCACAGUAAACGAUGAAUACUUGUUUUCGGCGAUAUAAUGUCGGAGGCAAAGCGAAAGCGAUAAGUAUUCCACCUGGGGAGUACGCCGGCAACGGUGAAACUCAAAGGAAUUGACGGGG
RNAcentral lists this ribosomal RNA (392 nucleotides) under uncultured bacterium. RNAcentral describes it as "partial 16S ribosomal RNA". It matches the Rfam family "Bacterial small subunit ribosomal RNA", at positions 523 to 918 of the family's 1533-position model. The record is from RNAcentral.